This is a long non-coding RNA of Vespa mandarinia (Asian giant hornet), 1625 nucleotides long. NCBI's taxonomy places the organism in Eukaryota, Metazoa, Arthropoda, Insecta, Hymenoptera, Vespidae. The record is from RefSeq and is a predicted model, not a curated record.
CAGACCCGCGCGGGAGCGCGCGCACGUACACACACACACACACGCUCUUAUUCUUUUCUAUUAUCGUAAUUAUAGAGAGUAGAAAAUUUCUAUGAAAUCGAAAUUGUACUUUAUCAUCUGUCUUAAUCUUUCUCUUUUCCUCUAUUUUUCUUAUUAUCCCCCGUUGGUGUUAAUUAUCAUUCCCCUCGUAUAAUAGCUGACAACGUAAUCGACAUUACGUGAUCCCGUCUGAUUUUAAAGGGGCUAAAGAGAGCACCAUGAUGGAACGUGAAAUGAUACUCUUUGGAGACGAAGUGUACCGAGGACCCCCCACCCCCUCCUCUCUCUUUCUCUCUCUCUAUCUCUCUCUCUCUCUCUCUCUUUCUAACAGACUAUAUUUCUUUUUUAUCGACCUGUUUACAUUAGACAAGCCACUUUGUCGAGGUAUAGGAGAAACUUGAGUCACGCGCUUACAUGCGAACUAGGAAUUACAUUUUCACUACUACAAACUCGUUAACCCUACGUAUAAUUACAAUUGUGUAGUAGAGACUAUUAUCGUCUUCUCAGUGUUGGUGAUAUUACCUAUGGACACAAGGGGGGUUGGGAAGGAAGAACGUGUGAUAGGGGGAUCGGUCGAGUAGGGGAAUUGGAAAAUAGCUAAUUCUAGAAUGCCAAUUAAGGACUUGCAUAGUUCUUCUCCUCAUCGUAGUGUCUUCAAAUAUGCGAGGCGAAAUUGAACAAGGGGAGAGCGAAGAGAUGGGAAAAAAGAAAAAAAAAAAAAAAAAAAAAGAAAAAGAAAUAGAAGUAGAAGAAGAUGAUGAAGAAGAAGAAAAAGAUGAAGAAAAAGACGAAGAGGAAGAAGAUGAAGAAAAAGAAGAGAAUUUAUAAAGGGGAUAUUUAUUCGUCUCGUGAGAGAAGGAAAUCCGGUUUUCAUCUCCUCCCCCUACCUCCCACCCUCCCACCCUCUCUCUCGCUCUCUCUCCCUCUCUCUCCCUACAAUUUUAUUUUUUCUUUCUUUCUUUCUUUCUAUUUCGUAGUUUUUCUCGACGUUAAGAUUGCCUUUUAAAGGAUCAUGAUAGAGGUGGUGGGGGAACGAGAUGCGCAGGAACGAAGGAAGGGGUUAGAUGGAAGGGAUGGAUCGUAGUUAGGUGCUAAAAGAGACGGUAAUUGCUUGUAACUCUCCAGGGAUUCGCGCGAAAUACUUCUUUCAUCAUUAUUCGUAGCUCACUCUCGUAAGGACCUCGAGCGACCUCGUAAAAAGUUGUGAGGGGAAUAUCUUGCGAUAGAGAGAGAGAGAGAGAGAGAGAGAGAGAGAGAGAGAGAAAAGAAAAGAAGAAGAUCCAAGAAGAAGAAGAGGACGAGGUGGAUAAUGAUGGCCGAUGAACCAACAAGCAACAACCGGUUUUCGUUGUCGUUCGACACGAGACGACAGAGUUCGAAAGAGGCCGAAGAGGAGAAAGAGAAGAAGAAGAAGAAGAAGAAGAAGAAGGAGGAGGAGGAGGUGGUGGUGGUAGUAAUAGUAGUGAUGGUGGGACACAACUUAUGGGGAAAAUUAAUCGACAAAUCGCUCACCUGGUCAGCCAUAUUGUAGCCGUCGUUCAAGGACAAAUCGAGAUUGUCGUUUCUCUGAAACAAACGAAGAAAAG